This is a long non-coding RNA of Cervus elaphus (red deer), 176 nucleotides long. RefSeq lists it as uncharacterized. NCBI's taxonomy places the organism in Eukaryota, Metazoa, Chordata, Mammalia, Artiodactyla, Cervidae. The record is from RefSeq and is a predicted model, not a curated record. The transcript is spliced from 3 exons.
UUCAUUGACUAUGCUAAAGCCUUUGACUAUGUGGAUCAUAACAAACCGUGGAAAACUCUUAAAGAGAUGGGAAUACUGGACCACCUUCCCUGUCUCCUGAGAAACCUAUAUGCAGGUCAAGAAGCAACAGUUAGAGCCAGACAUGGAACAAUGAUUUGUUCAAAAUUGGGAAAGGA